Long non-coding RNA from Daphnia pulicaria, 4795 nucleotides. RefSeq lists it as uncharacterized. Lineage: Eukaryota; Metazoa; Arthropoda; Branchiopoda; Diplostraca; Daphniidae. The transcript has 9 exons. The record is from RefSeq and is a predicted model, not a curated record.
GUUGAGUCGUUGAUCAGUUGGUUUGACAGUGUGUCCACUUUGUUAAGCCAAAGAUAAAUAAUCAAUAAAUUAUUAAAAGUGCAUUGUAAAUUGUUGCUUUCUACGUAAAUAGUACAAAAUGGGUCGUACCUGUGAUAUCAUUGGAUGCUCAAAUUCAAAUUACAAGACAGAAAAAUUAAGCUAUCACAGUUUGCCAUCAAAUGAACUUUUGAGAGGAAAAUGGCUAGAGGCCAUUAGUGCAAAUGGAGUAUUUCGGCAGUCUAAAACGAGAAAGAAAACGCACAAUUGGGAGAACACAUUUAUUUGUGGGGAACAUUUCCCAGAAGACUGAGCACUACAUUUCGACAUCAAAGCAGAAACAUCUCAAACCUAUCGCUGUCCCAACAUUCCCUCCAACAAAGAAACAAAAGUGUAUCGAAAACAACAGUUCAGGUACUAACAACUUUCCCUCAGAACGUAACUUUCAUCCAAGAUUAAGGAUUGACGACGUGUUGGGACAGAUGACUUUGGUUGGGUGGAACAUGCUGAUUCGACAUUUUACUCCCACGUUCCCCUUCCUGUCGUUUGUGUAUAGACGGGCAGCUGUGUACUUCAUUAGAAAGAGAAGAAGCACCACAGAUUACAUCAAGUAUGGCCGAUAACCAAAUCCCCAUCAAUCAGAUUGCCACCAGUCUGCUGCCAAAUGGCAAUUUGCUCUCCUUGUUGGUAAUUUUGGACCUGUCUUAUGUGUCAUCAAGAUUGCAAACGAUGUGUCAUCAUUGACUCCACAUGGCACAUCAGACGUGUAGUCGGGAAAUCGCUACGAAUACUUCUUUUUUCACGCAAUUCUUCUUAAAAUGUUGAGGAUCAGCCAGAUUUGUUCAACGGCAUUUCUUUGUUGCCAACAUCUUCAGCAUUCUGGAAAUUGCAGGCCCAUUUCACGUUGCAGAACGAUAUUUCACUCCUUCGUCUGUUCCCCGGUUUUCGUACGACGGCCAUGCUGCUCUCCCAUCUGGAUAUAAGUCGUAAUUCGAUCGACCAGGGAUCCAUCCGCAUGUAGCCCCUGAAUACUUGGACACUUCCGCUUUGCAUCCGGUGUUUCUUUUGUGAUAGCAAAGAUAUUCUUGCUGGUCGUUAUCAAAGUUGUGAUGGCAGUGGGUGCAGUUUGGAUUAUCGACGCAUCGUUUGGCGCGUUCCAAAGGAUUUCACACAAAGUCACGAACGGAGAAAGGUCGUUGUCUUCACUGGGGAAGAAAUCACAGCCGCUUUCCCAGGGGUAUCCACUGUUGUAACCUCCAGAUUUCCAUUCCAUGGCCGACGAAACAACAAAAACGGUCAUUACCACACCAGUAAGGACUUCAUUUCUAAUUUUCUAUCCAUCCAAUUUUUAAAAUCAAGUAGAAACAUGUCGCAGCUUUAUUUAGUUUCACUUACCGGUUGGAAAGUUGGGCUGGCCAAAUUACGACUGAUGAAUGCCAAUGUGGUAGAUUUCGAGUAGGUAACCGUCAUAAAAAUUCUGGUCAUUAUUGACAUUUCCUUGGGAAUUUUUUUACUUGGGCAGUGUGUACAUGAUGGGCGCAAAUCAUUGGGUUUCCAGCUACCCCCACACCAUCGUUAAUUUGCAUAAAAGAAUUCUUUGCCAAGUCGAAUGGCCAGGUCAAUCACGCUCUGUCACGCCAAAGUUAUUCGUUCUAUCCAACUGCGACAAGGUGUGGUUCAUUGCGCUGUGACGGGAUAGUUUAUGAUAAUUCAUUUAGAAGGGAGUUUUGUUUGUUUAGCUUUCAUUGCCGUAAAUGUUUAUGUUUCGUUUAUUUGUUUUUCCUGGUGGCAUGCGAAAUAUUGGCCAGACCGCAUGAAUUUCACGCCGAAUAAGCGUGAAAAUCCCUUUCAAGAAACGUUAUGUUGAAAACUUGUUUUCUAAACGUAUACCUUGUUGAUUCCUACGUACUUGAUCGGUGACGUGUCUCAAUUGCAAAGAGUUUCUCUUUAAUACUUUGCCAAUUGGAAAUGCCGUUGCCUUUUUUGCGGGACUGAAAACCAGUUGAAGGCGUUGCCGCAAAAACAAAAAGGUUGGAGCCGACCGUCACCGAUUUGGAAUCGAUCCCGUUGUGACAUUUGAUCCCACUCGAAGUUUUAAGAGUCGAUAUGAGUUCCCUUUCACAAACACAAGGGCGAUAUGGGUUGAGAACCUUGACAAGUAAAUCUGAAAGUGCAAUUGAACAUCGUCGUCGUGGUAUAUAAAGAGCCAAUUGAACGAUCAAUCAGCAACUCAUUCUUCUCAUUUACUUGGCUCCAGCAGCAUCUCAUUUGAACGGGAAUUUUUAUUCGUCAGAUUUUGAAUUCAAUUACGAAUAAUUUGUUUAAAUGUCGGUCGCCCAGUGCAACAAAAUGUUUUUGAUUUCCGCCGUUUUGGUGAUGGUUGCGGUGAUCCUGCCGGCCGAGGCGAUCCGAACCUGGGACGAUUGGCACAACGGCGACGACGGCAUUAAAUGGAUGUACAACUGCGAGUUUCCAGGUGCUUGGACGCUGGAAGCCAAGGAAUUCAACAGUGACUAUUCGCCAAUGGAAGAAUCGCAGUGCGGCCGUGCCUGUAUCGACCGCAGGGGAUGCAAUUCCUUCGUGUUCAGAGAAGGCACUUGCUUCCUGAAAUCCUCUUCCAUUCCUGGAUCUUACAAACCUUAUAGACUUUGCAACCAGUGCGACAGUUGCGGUUUUCUCCCCUGGAAAUUCCACUAGAAAUUGCAAUUUAAUUUAUUCAUCAAAUUUAUAUUAUUUAUUUUGUCGGGUUACAAACGUCAGCUUGAUUAAUUCCACUUAUAUUUAUGGGGUGGCGAAAUAUAAUUGUCUCUAAUUGAUUCUUCGUUGUCGUCAAAACGAAUUCCAGGACGAUUUCAAAUCAACUGCGCAGAAUGCGUCAUCGAUAAAAUGAAUAAAGAUUUGGUCAUGCAAACUGACUUUUGUGGUCGCCACUUUCACAUCCGGAAAAGUUAAUAGAAUAAAGAGAACGAAAAAACAGGAUUAGUGCGAGUCUAUCUUUGCGUUCGUGUCUGUCUGGCAGUCGUCCGCGGAGAAACUAGUUUUAUUUUGGUGGGAAAUAUUUGGAUUGAUCCCAGAUAUAAUGAUACCGUAAUUGACUCGUUUCUGUUUUUAAAUGGCAAGUCGUCCUAUAUUAUCUGCGUGUGAUUUGCAUAUGAAAUACGAAAAUGGAUUGGCAUUCCAGUGGGUGACAGAAUUCUGGUAAGGUGCUACUAGAUGGACAACGGUCUCGACGACUUUUGCGAAUUUGACCUUGUCAGACUUUGUACGGCCGAUUCGUGAGAGGAGCAUUUUAAAAAAUUAUUCACCUUUUUGUGUUUGGUUUGAAACCGAUUUCUAUCGAAUACAAAAUAGUCUCGAUUCCUUUUUUCCGAUUUUCCAGUUUAGAAUUUUAGAUUUCGUUUUACCUUGACGUGGUGAAAAUAGCUGAGGAAUUUUUCCACGUUUGGUAAUCAUUUGGGCGUAAACUUUUUAGCUCAUUAUUGAGGACUGAGAUUGUAAUUGUAAUUUUUUACAUUUUGCAAAUAAUUGAAUGCAGGUUUCAAUGUUUUAAUCAAUCAGGCAACGAUGUUUGUUUUGUUUUUAUUUUAUUUUCGUCUGUAGCAAUUUCAAAUGUCAAAAAAAUGGCAGAGAGUUUCAUACGUGAUGUUAAUCUCAUCACUUUCAGAUUUCUUUUCGGUGAAUUAAAAGAAUUAAAGAACUCGUCAGUUGUAUAAAUUAUUCUAUUUUAAUUAGUAUGCACCUGCAAUCCUUUUAAUGCUUUUAAAAGUGUUGUAAGUCAGAAGCAAUGGUGUAACUACACUCGACUGGUAAUCUGAAGGGGAAAAGGUCUAAAAACGGAUCCAUACUGUAUCGUCAACUGCCUCGACGAUCCCAGUUAGUCAGUCCAGAGUGAAGCAAACAUUUUAUUACAUGAUGUACUCCAACAUAUGUAUGCAACAGUUCAUCUGAACCCAAUGAUCUUUCAUUCCGUUUACAUCUCAAUUAGUUUUACCCAAUUGUUCACAUGUGAGAUGUCUUACCGAGCAGAGAUCCCAAAUUCUGGGCAUCUGGGAUUGUGUAAUGAGGUAAGAGCUUUUUGGAAACACUACCUUGAUUUGUCAACAAUAUUCUGCCAAUGUUUCUAUUUUCCCUUGAAUCGCUUUUCUCAUCUUGUGUAAGAGGAGGUAGGAUUAAUUAUGCUAGUGAGUGGAAUAGGUACACCUAUUCUCGACAGUAUAUAUACUGGCAAUACACGGGGGACGUGGACAAACCAUUCUUCAGCUGCACAGCAAGUAUUCUACUAUCAAGUAUCCAUCUAAAAAAAUUCUCUGCAAGAUGAAUUUGAUUUCGAUCGCUUCCCUGUUGGUUGUUGCUGCGUUGAUGAUUUCGGUCGAUGCCCAGUGGAACACCGGCGACGGUGGCGUCAGAUGGAGGCCCAACUGCGACUUCACCGGCGGAGACAUUGGCAACGUGCGAGUGCCCGGACCGCAGUGCGGAAGGGCUUGCAUCAAUCGACCUAGAUGCAAUCAUUUUACUUAUAGAGACGGAGUGUGUUACCUGAAAAGCCAUCCAUUAUCCAAACCACGAUCCGGAUGUGGCGCAUGCGCUGUUUGCGGAUACCUUCCAUUCCGAACCAUCGGAUAAAGUUUUCUCGUUUCAGAUUUUGCAGUUUUCCAGAUUUUGCAGUUUUCCAGAUUUCUAUCUAUCGUUUCGUAUUUAGUUUAUAUACCUUUAUAAGUAGCAUUAUUAUGUAGAUGUAGACGAAAUAAUUUAUCAAAUACAACUUAUUAUUACACGC